AAGAUCUUAAGUUAAUCCAUUAAACUGUGGGCCUUCAAAGCCUGAAAUGGGUUCUUAGACCCAGAUCUUG
Molecule: transfer RNA, 70 nt
Filed under: Pirenella pupiformis
Lineage: Eukaryota; Metazoa; Mollusca; Gastropoda; Potamididae
Description: tRNA-Trp
Source: RNAcentral